UGUGUGUGUGUGUGUGUGUGUGUGUGUGUGUGUGUGCGUUCACACAGGAUUAUAACUUCCAGCUGUACACGCUGCAGCUCCAGAUGACCCGGAGCCAGAGAGAUAGAACAUCUAAUGUCCUCAAUCGAUCAAUACGAUCAAUACGCUCAGUGUCCAUUGGGACAAGACGUCUUCCUCCACAAACUCAGACUGGAACCGGGACCAGUAUCCUGCCUGAGAUCAACUACAGCCGGCAGGUCCUGCUCGUCGCCUGGCUCCGUGCCGUCUCACCCGUCUCACCUGUCCCACCUGCUGAGACGUGAGCAGGAGGAGGCCAAAGGUGAAGAUGCCUCCGAUCGUAGACGCUGCAGGACCUCCACAUAUCUUUUAUGAUCAGUUGGACUCUCGCUUCGUGAUGGAGGAGGAACAGGGACAUGUUUGUCCCUUUGAAUGGUGGGAAACCACUGGAGGUGAUGCUGUACUUCAGUGUGGACGUACAUCUGCUCUCACUGCUGUCACAGGUCAGACAUAAAGGCAAUCAAAACAAGAUGUGCACGUGUUCUUGAGGACAAUGAUGCUCUACUGGCUGCUGCAACACAAGUUCAAGUUCCGUUGGCUGCGUGACCCGGAGAGGAAGGACCUGGUAAAAGCAAGUCGAGUAGCAGAAUGCAGAAAACAUGUCCCAGAGCAGGAGGAGCACCCAGGGGAAACGGCAGCAUCAUGCCGGCCAUCUACCAAAGAGGACGACGCCUACGUCUCUGCUGAAAAUCAACCAGGAGCCACAAGGACGGACGCUGUGAAUCAGUUUCCAUUAAUAAAGAAAGUAUCACUUAAAUAUGAUGCAACCUCUGAUUCUCUCUCCAAAGAGGAAUCGGCUCUCAGAUCUAAUGUUGGAGAAGCUUCUCCUCUUGAGGUCAAUUACUGGUUUGAGAGCGAACAAUGUUCUCCUGGUCAGAGGUGAGACUUGUCAGCUCAUUUUAACGCUUGUUGAGAAUCUCAUCUAUUUUUAACUUUCUUUCUAUUUAACUUUUCCUUGCGAGGAAAGUUUGUUAAACCUGUUUGUUUUG
This is a long non-coding RNA of Gasterosteus aculeatus aculeatus (three-spined stickleback), 1046 nucleotides long. NCBI's taxonomy places the organism in Eukaryota, Metazoa, Chordata, Actinopteri, Perciformes, Gasterosteidae. The record is from Ensembl.